UACGUAGGGUGCGAGCGUUGUCCGGAAUUAUUGGGCGUAAAGAGCUCGUAGGCGGUGUGUCACGUCGGCCGUGAAAACCUGCAGCUUAACUGUGGGCGUGCGGUCGAUACGGGCAUCACUGGAGUUCGGCAGGGGAGACUGGAAUUCCUGGUGUAGCGGUGAAAUGCGCAGAUAUCGGGAGGAAUACCGAUGGCGAAGGCAGGUCUCUGGGCUGACACUGACGCUCAUGCACGAAAGCGUGGGGAGCAAACAGA
This 254-nucleotide ribosomal RNA is filed under the name uncultured bacterium. RNAcentral's name for it is "partial 16S ribosomal RNA". It matches the Rfam family "Bacterial small subunit ribosomal RNA", at positions 524 to 776 of the family's 1533-position model. The record is from RNAcentral.